This 253-nucleotide ribosomal RNA is filed under the name uncultured bacterium. RNAcentral describes it as "partial 16S ribosomal RNA". It matches the Rfam family "Bacterial small subunit ribosomal RNA", at positions 524 to 776 of the family's 1533-position model. The record is from RNAcentral.
UACGAAGGGGGCUAGCGUUGUUCGGAUUUACUGGGCGUAAAGCGCACGUAGGCGGAUUGUUAAGUCGGGGGUGAAAUCCUGGAGCUCAACUCCAGAAUUGCCUUCGAUACUGGCUUUCUAGAGGCUGGAAGAGGUUAGUGGAAUUCCCAGUGUAGAGGUGAAAUUCGUAGAUAUCGGGAGGAACACCUGUGGCGAAGGCGGCCAUCUGGACAGUCACUGACACUGAGACGCGAAAGCGUGGGUAGCAAACAGG